This is a long non-coding RNA of Astatotilapia calliptera (eastern happy), 1085 nucleotides long. NCBI's taxonomy places the organism in Eukaryota, Metazoa, Chordata, Actinopteri, Cichliformes, Cichlidae. The record is from Ensembl.
CAGUGUUUUACCUGUGUUUUGUCAUUUUUAGUUACAUGUGAAAACCUAAGGUCAGUAGAGUGAUUUUUUUUUAACCAUGUGGUAGAGUUAUAUUUUGUAUGUUGCGUUAUGGCAGCCAUUCAGAUUGUUGUGUGGCAUAUUGAUGCCAUUAAUUGCAAAGCCUGGAACUCAAUUACUAAAGAAUGUGUUAUUAUUUCAUUAAGAGAAGUAUUUGUUUAUUAAACUCUCUUAAUAAUGCUGUGUUGUUAUGCAGCUUUUACAUUUUUAAUAUUGUCUUUUAAUCUUUCAGUGCAUGCUGAUAAUAAGUGGUGCUCAAAUAUAGCUGCAAGGAGCACUGACUGUGACCUUUUUUGAUGACAAAGAGUUUUGUUGUUGGCGUGGUUUUUCUUUGUUAAAAUUAGGUCUGAGAUUUUGGCUUGGCAGUACCCAUCUUGCAGUAGGGCUCUGGUAUUAGGGCGUGAGAAGGUGAUAAGUGUGAGAGUGCCUGGGUGUGACUGUUAAGCUGUCUCCAACAGUUACACUUGUUACUCACACUUGAUAUUUUGGAGGCUAAUGGCUUCAUGCAGAUGAAAUUGUCCAUCAUCGUUAUGCAAAUGAAUCGACUAUUCCUGAUUUUUUGAUAAAAGAAACUGAAUUACAAAUUUUUUUUUCUUUUGUUUUUUUUUAAAGAGCAAGGUCUGGUUAUUAAAGCAGUAGUAGUUUGGGAUGCACUAAUUUCCUGGCAGUGUUAAUGACUGCCACAUGAGUGGUAGUCACUGGCAUCUUAUAUGCCUCGAGUUGCAAAUGUGCAAACAUGUUGAUCAUGUUACCGGCUUCUCUGUCAUCAUCACCAUCAUGAUCAUCUUCUUGUCUCUUAACAUUACACUGCUUCACCAGCUUUCACUGAGAGCCUGCAUUUACCUAAAAAUAAUUUAUUCUUUUAUUCUUUUAUUUUAGUCUUUUAUUAUUAUUAUUAUUAUUAUUAUUAUUAUUAUUAUUAUACAAAAUGUUUUAUUCAGGUCACAGGGUGAUGCUUGAAUCUGUACCAGCUUGCAUUGGACAGAAGAUGGGAAAACCGGGGACAGUCCCUUGGAACUAUCUUAAAA